This is a long non-coding RNA of Lytechinus variegatus (green sea urchin), 628 nucleotides long. RefSeq lists it as uncharacterized. The transcript is spliced from 5 exons. Lineage: Eukaryota; Metazoa; Echinodermata; Echinoidea; Temnopleuroida; Toxopneustidae. The record is from RefSeq and is a predicted model, not a curated record.
AGGGGAUGCAUAACAAGUCUAGCUGUCGCACAGAGGAACAGGGAACCAAGCCUUUGUCUAAAUUCAGCUUAAACAUUUGAUUGAACGCACCUGGGAAUAAAUCAGAAAUUUAGAAAUCAUAUACGAGAGCUACUAGAAAGAGAUAUAGAGAUAGAAGGAUGGAAAUCUGAAGCUUCAUCUUGUCUGAUAUUGUCAUUUGGGACACAUGAACAGAUCUUCGUAUUUCAACACUUUCAGAAUGAGAAAAAGGGGACCAUGACAUGACUUCAGAACCAGAGGUCAUGUCCAAUUCAAUGUACUUUCCUGAGAGCCUGCACUGUGAACCAGAGAAUUUCAGAGAAAUUUGAGUUGUUGUUUUGGAAGCGGGACUUUUCACAUCUGGAGGAAAAACAAUGAACACAAUGAUUCUUCUUCGUGAAUGAAACAAGUUUAUGUCCGAUUGAAGUGUAUGAUCUGGUGUCGAGGACCAUAAAUAGAUAGUCGAAAAUCUCAGUAAAUCUUUGUCCAUCGGAAACGUCUGGUUUAUAAGAGAGCCAUCAAGAUGUGACCCCUCUGACCCACUUUCAGUCAUCCAACACCACAACACCUGGUUUCCAUGACGACUGUUUCUGGCAAGAUGUCAACAGAU